GGCGGGGUUGGUAGUAGGUACGUGGCUGGUGGCGAGAGACAUUGCCACCGAGAACUCCAAAAUUAACGUGCGUUCACCAUUACCAAACCAUUUCUUCGGGUGCUUAGAAUCAAAAUUUCAAAACUAUCCACAGACAAACUUAUCUUUACAUACAAACCCCAAUGGGCGACGGUGCAAUAAUGCCACAAAUCGCAAUACCCUUUUCUGAAAAUCAAACGAGUUCCUCAGCAGACAAGUUGGUUGGUGAAUAACCCAUUUGGUUCAGUACAACAACCACGCAAGGUACUGUUACACCUAAACCCUGCAACGAUCAUAUUCUUCAAAGCAGCUUUUCAAAAAAGAAAAAAUUCCUCUAAGGAAAGGCAGAGAGGGAGAGUGGUAGGAGAAUUUUGUACACGCAGAGAAAUGGCG
Molecule: unclassified non-coding RNA, 411 nt
Filed under: Hevea brasiliensis (rubber tree)
Lineage: Eukaryota; Viridiplantae; Streptophyta; Magnoliopsida; Malpighiales; Euphorbiaceae
Source: RNAcentral